AGUCCUGACGCGCCAUGAUGCUGGACCCACAGCUGCCCAUUCCGAACAGAAAUGUGACACAGCGCGCGGCCGAUGAUAGUGCCGGCGUGCCCGGUGCGAAAGCAGGUUAUGUCAGGA
RNAcentral lists this ribosomal RNA (117 nucleotides) under Candidatus Tremblayella princeps. The record is from RNAcentral. Lineage: Bacteria; Pseudomonadati; Pseudomonadota; Betaproteobacteria.